Molecule: transfer RNA, 72 nt
Filed under: Ovis aries (sheep)
Lineage: Eukaryota; Metazoa; Chordata; Mammalia; Artiodactyla; Bovidae
Rfam family: tRNA
About the family: Transfer RNA (tRNA) molecules are approximately 80 nucleotides in length. Their secondary structure includes four short double-helical elements and three loops (D, anti-codon, and T loops). Further hydrogen bonds mediate the characteristic L-shaped molecular structure. tRNAs have two regions of fundamental functional importance: the anti-codon, which is responsible for specific mRNA codon recognition, and the 3' end, to which the tRNAs corresponding amino acid is attached (by aminoacyl-tRNA synthetases). tRNAs cope with the degeneracy of the genetic code in two manners: having more than one tRNA (with a specific anti-codon) for a particular amino acid; and 'wobble' base-pairing, i.e. permitting non-standard base-pairing at the 3rd anti-codon position.
Source: Rfam by way of RNAcentral
UCCCUGUUGGCUCAGCUGGUAAAGUAUCUGCCUGCAAUACAGGAGACCUGGGUUCAAUCCCUGGGUUGGGAA